Molecule: ribosomal RNA, 253 nt
Filed under: uncultured bacterium
Lineage: Bacteria
Description: partial 16S ribosomal RNA
Rfam family: Bacterial small subunit ribosomal RNA
Source: RNAcentral
UACGUAGGGGGCAAGCGUUGUCCGGAUUUAUUGGGCGUAAAGAGCGUGUAGGCGGCUGGGUAGGUCCGCUGUGAAAACUCGAGGCUUAACCUCGAGACGUCGGUGGAAACCAUCCAGCUAGAGUCUGAAAGAGGAGAGUGGAAUUCCUGGUGUAGCGGUGAAAUGCGCAGAUAUCAGGAAGAACACCCGUGGCGAAAGCGGCUCUCUGGGACGGUACUGACGCUGAGACGCGAAAGCGUGGGGAGCGAACAGG